This 255-nucleotide ribosomal RNA is filed under the name uncultured bacterium. RNAcentral describes it as "partial 16S ribosomal RNA". It matches the Rfam family "Bacterial small subunit ribosomal RNA", at positions 524 to 776 of the family's 1533-position model. The record is from RNAcentral.
UACGGGGGGGAGCAAGCGUUGUUCGGAUUUACUGGGCGUAAAGGGCGCGUAGGCGGUCAGCACAAGUCAGUUGUGAAAUCUCCGGGCUUAACUCGGAAAGGUCAACUGAUACUGUGCGACUAGAGUGCGGAAGGGGCAACUGGAAUUCUCAGUGUAGCGGUGAAAUGCGUAGAUAUUGGGAAGAACACCAGUGGCGAAAGCGGACUUCUGGGCUAUUACUGACGCUGAGGUACGAAAGUGUGGGGAGCAAACGGG